UCAGGAUGAACGCUGGCGGCGUGCUUAACACAUGCAAGUCGAACGGAGAUACUAUGUGAGCGGAGAUAGCUUGCUAUUAACAAUCUUUAGUAUCUUAGUGGCGGACGGGUGAGUAACGCGUGGAUAACCUGCCUUGUACUGGGGGAUAACACUUAGAAAUAGGUGCUAAUACCGCAUAGGCGCACAGGACCGCAUGGUCUGGUGUGAAAAAUUCCGGUGGUACAAGAUGGAUCCGCGUCUGAUUAGCUAGUUGGUAAGGUAACGGCCUACCAAGGCAACGAUCAGUAGCCGGCUUGAGAGAGUGAACGGCCACAUUGGGACUGAGACACGGCCCAAACUCCUACGGGAGGCAGCAGUGGGGAAUAUUGCACAAUGGGCGAAAGCCUGAUGCAGCGACGCCGCGUGAGUGGAGAAGUAUUUCGGUACGUAAAGCUCUAUCAGCAAGGAAGAAAAUGACGGUACUUGACUAAGAAGCCCCGGCUAACUACGUGCCAGCCGCGGC
Molecule: ribosomal RNA, 502 nt
Filed under: uncultured bacterium
Lineage: Bacteria
Description: bacterial SSU rRNA
Rfam family: Bacterial small subunit ribosomal RNA
Source: RNAcentral